UACGGGGGGGGCAAGCGUUGUUCGGAAUUACUGGGCGUAAAGGGCUCGUAGGUGGCCAACUAAGUCAGACGUGAAAUCCCUCGGCUUAACCUGGGAACUGCAUCCGAUACUGGAUGGCUUGAAUUCGGGAGAGGGAUGCAGAAUUCCAGGUGUAGCGGUGAAAUGCGUAGAUAUCUGGAGGAACACCGGUGGCGAAGGCGGCAUCCUGGACCAAUAUUGACGCUGAGGAGCGAAAGCCAGGGGAGCAAACGGG
This 253-nucleotide ribosomal RNA is filed under the name uncultured bacterium. Its description in RNAcentral is "partial 16S ribosomal RNA". It matches the Rfam family "Bacterial small subunit ribosomal RNA", at positions 524 to 776 of the family's 1533-position model. The record is from RNAcentral.